GAGAAAAGUUUCACAGAACAGGUGAAAUUUGAACAUCAGUGAAGGAUAAACAAUUUUCCAGGCAGAAAAAGAAAGGAAGAAAAGAAAUCAAACCAUUCUAAAGAAAGAAAGGAACCCAUAAAAAUAUAUAGGUGCAUGAGAAAGUUCCUUGUAUUUCAUAAUCUGGAAAUUGGUUUGGUUAGAGUGCAGAUGAUGUCAGGACGAUGGGAUCCGGUCCUCUAGCAGAAAGCAUGGGGAUAUUACCUCACACUCAACAGGGAAGCAUUAAAUAAUUUUACAUCCAAGAUAAUAGAUACAUCCAAGAUAAAAUACAAGAUAAAACUUGCAUUUUAGAAUAACUCUGCAAAUUCACAUUAAAAAGAAGUACCUAUUACAUGGGGGGAAAAAACCCAAAAUACUUAGUGAAAGCAUGGUUAACCUGCAAGUUUCAUGCAAUUUAAAAAUGCGUAUCCAGCUGAGUAUUCAUACUCUGACACAAUACGUUCUCAUCUGCCCUCCUCAUGUAGCUGUAUUACUUUUGUAAUUUCAAUCAAAACAGGAAGAAGCAUAGGCAACUGAAUGAAGAAUGGAAUGUGAAUGAGGCUGGAGAAAUGUGAAUCAAAAAGAAAGCUAAUGGAGUUGUUCAAGUGAGAUGUGAGGGCUGAGCUAUGGUAGCCUGGCUGGAGAGGGGGAAGAAAACUUUAAAGAUAAAGCAGAAUCUAGGACUUGUUGAACCAAUGAAGAUGCAAGAUGGUGACAAUGGGAGAAAUCUUCAUUAUUUUCCUUCAAGAGCUUUUGCAAAGACAUUUAUGACUUCUCUGCUAAGUUUUAUCUGCAAAGAAUGGUAUGACGUAUUGCUGAUC
RNAcentral lists this long non-coding RNA (842 nucleotides) under Mustela putorius furo (domestic ferret). RNAcentral's name for it is "lncRNA (ENSMPUG00000027205.1)". The record is from RNAcentral. Lineage: Eukaryota; Metazoa; Chordata; Mammalia; Carnivora; Mustelidae.